GUCGCGGACAUACAAGAUGAAGAGAGACGAUAUUACCAAACAGUAGUUGAACUAAACCAUAAGAUGCAAGUUUUGAAAUAUUGUUCAACACCAGAAGUGUGACAACAAAAACAUCAAGAGAGAUUCAAACAGAUACUAUUAAGACUUUCCGCCCCCAAACAGAACAACAAUUACAGCACACCUCCAACCCACCUUACAAAAAUAAGCAUCAACAUACGACAUUAUCCCUACUAUUAGAUUUCAUUACCAACUUUUUAAGUCUUCACAAAAAGAAAAAUCUAAAAAGAGCAACAAUAGAACUGCCAUGGUUGAUCAACUUAAGCACGCUCGCCCCUAAUACGCCUAGCAAGCUGAAUGUCCUUGGGC
This 366-nucleotide unclassified non-coding RNA is filed under the name Hevea brasiliensis (rubber tree). The record is from RNAcentral. Lineage: Eukaryota; Viridiplantae; Streptophyta; Magnoliopsida; Malpighiales; Euphorbiaceae.